Molecule: ribosomal RNA, 769 nt
Filed under: Golovinomyces reginae
Lineage: Eukaryota; Fungi; Ascomycota; Leotiomycetes; Helotiales; Erysiphaceae
Description: Euoidium reginae partial 28S rRNA
Rfam family: Eukaryotic large subunit ribosomal RNA
Source: RNAcentral
UUGACCUCGAAUCAGGUAGGGAUACCCGCUGAACUUAAGCAUAUCAAUAAGCGGANNNNNNNNNNNNNNNNNNNNNNNNNNNNGUAACGGCGAGUGAAGCGGUAACAGCUCAAAUUUGAAAUCUGGCUCCUGCGGAGUCCGAGUUGUAAUUUGUAGAAGAUGCUUUGGGAGGUCGGCUCGGCCUAAGUUCCUUGGAACAGGACAUCAGAGAGGGUGAGAAUCCCGUAUGUGGCCGUGGCCGACGCCCGUGUAAAGCUCUUUCGACGAGUCGAGUUGUUUGGGAAUGCAGCUCAAAAUGGGUGGUAAAUUUCAUCUAAAGCUAAAUAUUGGCCAGAGACCGAUAGCGCACAAGUAGAGUGAUCGAAAGAUGAAAAGCACUUUGGAAAGAGAGUUAAACAGUACGUGAAAUUGUUGAAAGGGAAGCGCUUGCACCCAGACUUGGGCGUCGGCGAUCAUCCGAGGUUCUCCUCGGUGCACUCGGCGAGGCCCAGGCCAGCAUCGGUUUCGAUGGUUGGAGAAAGGCUCUAGGAACGUAGCUCGCUUCGGGGAGUGUUAUAGCCUAGGGCGUAAUGCAGCCCAUCGGGACCGAGGACCGCGCCUUCGGGCUAGGAUGCUGGCGUAAUGGUUGCAAGCGACCCGUCUUGAAACACGGACCAAGGAGUCUAACAUCUAUGCGAGUGUUUGGGCGUUAAACCCAUACGCGGAAUGAAAGUGAACGUAGGUGAGAACCCGUCUGGGUGCAUCAUCGACCGAUCCUGAUGUCUUCGGA